This 764-nucleotide ribosomal RNA is filed under the name uncultured bacterium. RNAcentral describes it as "bacterial SSU rRNA". It matches the Rfam family "Bacterial small subunit ribosomal RNA", at positions 7 to 747 of the family's 1533-position model. The record is from RNAcentral.
GAGAGUUUGAUCCUGGCUCAGAACUAACGCUGGCGGCGUGCCUAACACAUGCAAGUCGAACGAGAAAGUUGGCUUCGGCCGAUGAGUAAAGUGGCGCACGGGUGAGUAACGCGUGGAUAAUCUGGCCUUUAGUUUGGAAUAACGUACCGAAAGGUGCGCUAAUACCGGAUAAUACUGAAUGACUACUGUCGUUUGGUCAAAGAAGGCUUCUGUUUACAUGCCCUUGCUGAAGGAUGAGUCCGCGUACCAUUAGCUAGUUGGUAGGGUAAUGGCCUACCAAGGCGACGAUGGUUAGCUGGUCUGAGAAGAUGAUCAGGCACACUGGAACUGAGACACGGUCCAGACUCCUACGGGAGGCAGCAGUGAGGAAUAUUGCGCAAUUGGGGCAACCCUGACGCAGCAACGCCGCGUGAGUGAGGAAGGGUUUCGGACCGUAAAGCUCUGUCGAACGGGAAGAAAUGCAUGGUGGCUAAUAUCCAUCAUGCUUGACGGUACCGCUAAAGGAAGCACCGGCUUACUCCGUGCCAGCAGCCGCGGUAAUACCGGGGGUGCGAGCGUUGUUCGGAAUUAUUGGGCGUAAAGAGCGUGUAGGCGGCCGAAUAAGUCAGAUGUGAAAUUCCUGGGCUUAACCCAGGACGUGCAUUUGAAACUAUUCGGCUGGAGUAAGGGAGAGGAAAGUGGAAUUCCUGGUGUAGAGGUGGAAUUCGUAGAUAUCAGGAGGACCACCGGUGGCGAAGGCGACUUUCUGGCCCUAUACUGACGCU